AGGUCACCAUGGACAGCUCACCUUAUUUCAAGUUGGUCGGCCCCAAUGGUGUGUGCCAUCAGAUCCCACCAGGCUCAUUUUGUACUAUAAACAUCCUUUUCACCCCUGAGGGGAGCAAGUUACUUUUCCUGCAGGAUCAUUUCCACCAGCUUGUCUGCAGCAGUGAAAGGGAAAAGGUCUCUGUGCCAAUCCGGGCCAUUGGUGCCUGCCCAGUCUUGGACUUCCCUGACCAGCUGGACUUCUCGUCGUGUCCAGUCAACCACAGCACCCAGAAGACUCUGCUGGUUCACAACACUGGGAACCUGGAAGCCUGUUACAGCCUCAGCACUGAGAGGUAAAGCAGCUCAUCUGUCUUAGUGCAAAACACCUUUGGGUGAUGGCAGAGUUGGGAAAGAGUAUCCCAAAGGAACCAAAGCAUCCGAACUGCUGCACUGCAGCCACAGCUGGAAAGGGGCAGGACGUGUGGGGUCUGCUGUUGCUUCUAGUGUUUUAAGCAGGAUGCAAGCCCUGAGCUUUGUCUCUCCCAGAUUUCCUGGGGACUACUGGAACACGUUAGUAGUUGGUCUGCACCCUCCUGAGCACCAACACCUUCUGAAAUGGCUACCUCCCACUGUCAGCCAAUAAACCCACUGGGCAGAAGCACCUCUCACCUGAGCUAUCCUGAAGCACUAAAGCCCUGAUUUUUGUGUCUGUCAGGCAAGAGCUGUUUACCUGGUGACAAAGCCAAAUUGCUCCUGUUAAAUCCAAACUGCACCAACACAUUUGCCUAAUG
RNA transcript from Corapipo altera (White-ruffed manakin), 772 nucleotides. It is a transcript of the gene named hydrocephalus-inducing protein-like, with no coding region annotated. The transcript has 2 exons. The record is from RefSeq and is a predicted model, not a curated record. NCBI's taxonomy places the organism in Eukaryota, Metazoa, Chordata, Aves, Passeriformes, Pipridae.